Non-coding RNA from Nipponia nippon (crested ibis), 383 nucleotides. The record is from the annotation of a RefSeq genome assembly. Lineage: Eukaryota; Metazoa; Chordata; Aves; Pelecaniformes; Threskiornithidae.
AUGGGCAUCCACUUGGCCUCCACCUUCCUCCUCCUCCUCGCAGCCCUGCCAGGGCUGCAGGCGGCCGUGCAGCUGGUGGGGAGCGGAGGGGGCCUCCAGACAUACGUCGCGGAGUAGCAGCGGUGGUAGCACAUACUACGCGUCGGCGGUCAAAGGGCGCUUCACCAUCUCCCGGGACAACUCCCGGAGCACGCUCACGCUGCAGAUGAACAGCCUGAAGGUCGAAGACACGGCCACCUACUACUGCGCGAAAGCUGCUCACGGUGGCACCGACCUCAUGCGCAGCUGGCGAAAAACCCAGUGUUGGCUGGUUGUCCCGUGGGAGACGGAGGGCGGCGAUGCGUGGCGACUCUUUGCCGUGCUUGAGCGGCCGCAGCUGCUGC